This 535-nucleotide ribosomal RNA is filed under the name Cytobacillus oceanisediminis. RNAcentral's name for it is "bacterial SSU rRNA". It matches the Rfam family "Bacterial small subunit ribosomal RNA", at positions 111 to 645 of the family's 1533-position model. Lineage: Bacteria; Bacillati; Bacillota; Bacilli; Caryophanales; Bacillaceae. The record is from RNAcentral.
UAGUACACUGGCACUGCUGUAGACUGGAUACUCCGGGAACCGGGCUAUACCGGAUAUUCUUCCCUCACAUGAGGGAAGCUGAAAGAUGUUUCGGCUAUCACUUACAGAUGGGCCCGCGGCGCAUUAGCUAGUUGGUGAGGUAACGGCUCACCAAGGCAACGAUGCGUAGCCGACCUGAGAGGGUGAUCGGCCACACUGGGACUGAGACACGGCCCAGACUCCUACGGGAGGCAGCAGUAGGGAAUCUUCCGCAAUGGACGAAAGUCUGACGGAGCAACGCCGCGUGAGUGAUGAAGGUUUUCGGAUCGUAAAACUCUGUUGUUAGGGAAGAACAAGUACCGGAGUAACUGCCGGUACCUUGACGGUACCUAACCAGAAAGCCACGGCUAACUACGUGCCAGCAGCCGCGGUAAUACGUAGGUGGCAAGCGUUGUCCGGAAUUAUUGGGCGUAAAGCGCGCGCAGGCGGUUCCUUAAGUCUGAUGUGAAAGCCCCCGGCUCAACCGGGGAGGGUCAUUGGAAACUGGGGAACUUGA